ACCCUCUCAGGGUCGCACCUGCAGAGUGUCCAGCACUCUACCGGUCUCGACUAUGGGAGGCAGAGUCAAGCCGAGGCCUACCCAUUUCAUUCCUAGCUUGAGCAGUGGCUAGCGAGUGGAAGGCCAUCUGCUACAAGU
This is a small nucleolar RNA of Tachyglossus aculeatus (Australian echidna), 138 nucleotides long. The record is from RefSeq and is a predicted model, not a curated record. NCBI's taxonomy places the organism in Eukaryota, Metazoa, Chordata, Mammalia, Monotremata, Tachyglossidae.